GACGAACCGUGCGAACGUUAUUCGGAAUCACUGGGCUUAAAGGGCGCGUAGGCGGGUUCUCAAGUCUGCGGUGAAAUCCUCCAGCUUAACUGGAGAAGUGCCGUGGAUACUGGGAGUCUCGAGGAGGGUAGGGGCAUCUGGAACGUUGGGUGGAGCGGUGAAAUGCGUUGAUAUCCAACGGAACUCCGGUGGCGAAGGCGAGGUGCUGGACCCUUUCUGACGCUGAGGCGCGAAAGCCAGGGGAGCGAACGGG
This 253-nucleotide ribosomal RNA is filed under the name uncultured bacterium. RNAcentral describes it as "partial 16S ribosomal RNA". It matches the Rfam family "Bacterial small subunit ribosomal RNA", at positions 524 to 776 of the family's 1533-position model. The record is from RNAcentral.